RNAcentral lists this ribosomal RNA (497 nucleotides) under uncultured bacterium. RNAcentral's name for it is "partial 16S ribosomal RNA". It matches the Rfam family "Bacterial small subunit ribosomal RNA", at positions 28 to 507 of the family's 1533-position model. The record is from RNAcentral.
GAUGAACGCUGGCGGCGUGCCUAAUACAUGCGAGUCGAGCGAACGGACGAGAAGCUUGCUUUUCUGAUGUUAGCGGCGGACGGGUGAGUAACACGUGGAUAACCUACCUAUAAGACUGGGAUAACUUCGGGAAACCGGAGCUAAUACCGGUUAAUAUUUUGAACCGCAUGGUUCAAAAGUGAAAGACGGUCUUGCUGUCACUUAUAGAUGGAUCCGCGCUGCAUUAGCUAGUUGGUAAGGUAACGGCUUACCAAGGAAACGAUGCAUAGCCGACCUGAGAGGGUGAUCGGCCACACUGGAACUGAGACACGGUCCAGACUCCUACGAGAGGCAGCAGUAGGGAAUCUUCCGCAAUGGGCGAAAGCCUGACGGAGCAACGCCGCGUGAGUGAUGAAGGUCUUCGGAUCGUAAAACUCUGUUAUUAGGGAAGAACAUAUGUGUAAGUAACUGUGCACAUCUUGACGGUACCUAAUCAGAAAGCCACGGCUAACUACGUG